RNAcentral lists this ribosomal RNA (425 nucleotides) under uncultured bacterium. RNAcentral's name for it is "bacterial SSU rRNA". It matches the Rfam family "Bacterial small subunit ribosomal RNA", at positions 354 to 796 of the family's 1533-position model. The record is from RNAcentral.
GUGGGGAAUAUUGCACAAUGGGGGAAACCCUGAUGCAGCGACGCCGCGUGAAGGAAGAAGUAUCUCGGUAUGUAAACUUCUAUCAGCAGGGAAGAGAUUGACGGUACCUGACUAAGAAGCCCCGGCUAACUACGUGCCAGCAGCCGCGGUAAUACGUAGGGGGCAAGCGUUAUCCGGAUUUACUGGGUGUAAAGGGAGCGUAGACGGAUGGACAAGUCUGAUGUGAAAGGCUGGGGCUCAACCCCGGGACUGCAUUGGAAACUGCCCGUCUUGAGUGCCGGAGAGGUAAGCGGAAUUCCUAGUGUAGCGGUGAAAUGCGUAGAUAUUAGGAGGAACACCAGUGGCGAAGGCGGCUUACUGGACGGUAACUGACGUUGAGGCUCGAAAGCGUGGGGAGCAAACAGGAUUAGAUACCCCUGUAGUCC